RNAcentral lists this ribosomal RNA (311 nucleotides) under uncultured Bacillota bacterium. RNAcentral's name for it is "bacterial SSU rRNA". It matches the Rfam family "Bacterial small subunit ribosomal RNA", at positions 28 to 351 of the family's 1533-position model. The record is from RNAcentral. Lineage: Bacteria; Bacillati; Bacillota.
GAUGAACGCUGGCGGCGUGCCUAACACAUGCAAGUCGAGCGAACCUUUAUGGUGAGCGGCGGACGGGUGAGUAACGCGUGGGUAACCUGCCCUAUACACAUGGAUAACGUAUCGAAAGGUACGCUAAUACAGGAUAACAUAUAUUAUUCGCAUGGAUGAUAUAUCAAAGCGUUAGCGGUAUAGGAUGGACCCGCGUCUGAUUAGCUAGUUGGUGGGGUAAAGGCUCACCAAGGCGACGAUCAGUAGCCGACCUGAGAGGGUGAUCGGCCACAUUGGAACUGAGACACGGUCCAAACUCCUACGGGUGGCUG